This 414-nucleotide ribosomal RNA is filed under the name uncultured microorganism. RNAcentral's name for it is "bacterial SSU rRNA". It matches the Rfam family "Archaeal small subunit ribosomal RNA", at positions 459 to 872 of the family's 1478-position model. The record is from RNAcentral.
CAGCCGCCGCGGUAAUACCGGCGGCCCGAGUGGCGGUCACUAUUAUUGGGCUUAAAGCGUCCGUAGCCGGGUUGGGAAGUCCUCCGGGAAAUCUGGCCGCUUAAAGGUCAGAAUGCCGGAGGAUACUCCCAGCCUAGGGAGCGGGAGAGGCCGAGGGUAUUCCCGGAGUAGGGGGGAAAUCCUAUAAUCCCGGGAGGACCACCUGUGGCGAAGGCGCUCGGCUGGAACGCGUCCGACGGUGAGGGACGAAGGCCAGGGGAGCAAACCGGAUUAGAUACCCGGGUAGUCCUGGCUGUAAACGAUGCGGACUUUGUGUCGGACAAGCUAUGAGCUUGUCCGGUGCCGGAGGGAAACCGUUAAGUCCGCCGCCUGGGGAGUACGGCCGCAAGGCUGAAACUUAGAGGAAUUGGCGGG